RNAcentral lists this transfer RNA (90 nucleotides) under Candidatus Curtissbacteria bacterium RIFCSPLOWO2_01_FULL_39_62. RNAcentral describes it as "tRNA-Leu". It matches the Rfam family "tRNA". From Rfam's summary of the family: Transfer RNA (tRNA) molecules are approximately 80 nucleotides in length. Their secondary structure includes four short double-helical elements and three loops (D, anti-codon, and T loops). Lineage: Bacteria; Candidatus Curtissiibacteriota. The record is from RNAcentral.
GCCGCGAUGGUGAAAUUGGCAGACACGCAGGCUUCAGGAGCCUGUUCCCUUUAACAAGGAGUGGGAGUUCAACUCUCCCUCGCGGCACAA